CACCGGCGCCACGAGUAGUGAUCGCGGUUAUUGGGCCUAAAGCAUUCGUAGCCGGUUUGGUAAAUCUCCUGUGAAAUCGUCUGGCUCAACCUGACGGCGCGCAGGAAAGACUGCCAAGCUAGGGACUGGGAGGAGUGGAAGGUAUUCUGUAGGGAGCGGUAAAAUGCUAUAAUCUACAGAAGACCACCUGUGGCGAAGGCGUUCCACUAGAACAGGUCCGACGGUGAGGAAUGAAAGCUAGGGGAGCAAUCCGG
This 254-nucleotide ribosomal RNA is filed under the name uncultured archaeon. RNAcentral describes it as "partial 16S ribosomal RNA". It matches the Rfam family "Archaeal small subunit ribosomal RNA", at positions 474 to 727 of the family's 1478-position model. The record is from RNAcentral.